UUCAGUAAGGUCCGUAACACAUUCACA
RNAcentral lists this small RNA (27 nucleotides) under Bombyx mori (domestic silkworm). RNAcentral's name for it is "ovarian small RNA-37033". Lineage: Eukaryota; Metazoa; Arthropoda; Insecta; Lepidoptera; Bombycidae. The record is from RNAcentral.